CCUACGGGUGGCAGCAGUGGGGAAUCUUCCGCAAUGGGCGAAAGCCUGACGGAGCAACGCCGCGUGAUCGAAUGAAGGCCUUCGGGUUGUAAAGAUCUGUUGACAGGGACGAAUAAGCAAUGCGAAUAGUUUUGUGUAUGACGGUACCUGUUUAGAAAGCUCCGGCUAACUACGUGCCAGCAGCCGCGGUAAUACGUAGGGAGCAAGCGUUGUCCGGAAUUACUGGGCGUAAAGGGAGCGUAGGCGGGGAUGCAAGUGGGGGGUCAAAACUACCGGCUCAACUGGGAGUCGCACUCAAAACUGCAGCUCUGGAGUGAAGUAGAGGCAGGCGGAAUUCCUAGUGUAGCGGUGAAAUGCGUAGAUAUUAGGAGGAACACCAGUGGCGAAGGCGGCCUGCUGGGCUUUUACUGACGCUGAGGCUCGAAAGUGUGGGGAGCAAACAGGAUUAGAUACCCCGGUAGUC
This 463-nucleotide ribosomal RNA is filed under the name uncultured bacterium. RNAcentral's name for it is "partial 16S ribosomal RNA". It matches the Rfam family "Bacterial small subunit ribosomal RNA", at positions 338 to 795 of the family's 1533-position model. The record is from RNAcentral.